Molecule: ribosomal RNA, 497 nt
Filed under: uncultured bacterium
Lineage: Bacteria
Description: partial 16S ribosomal RNA
Rfam family: Bacterial small subunit ribosomal RNA
Source: RNAcentral
GAUGAACGCUGGCGGCGUGCCUAAUACAUGCAAGUCGAGCGAACGGACGAGAAGCUUGCUUCUCUGAUGUUAGCGGCGGACGGGUGAGUAACACGUGGAUAACCUACCUAUAAGACUGGGAUAACUUCGGGAAACCGGAGCUAAUACCGGAUGAUAUUUUGAACCGCAUGGUUCAAAAGUGAAAGACGGUCUUGCUGACACUUAUAGAUGGAUCCGCGCUGCAUUAGCUAGUUGGUAAGGUAACGGCUUACCAAGGCAACGAUGCAUAGCCGACCUGAGAGGGUGAUCGGCCACACUGGAACUGAGACACGGUCCAUACUCCUACGGGAGGCAGCAGUAGGGAAUCUUCCGCAAUGGGCGAAAGCCUGACGGAGCAACGCCGCGUGAGUGAUGAAGGUCUUCGGAUCGUAAAACUCUGUUAUUAGGGAAGAACAUAUGUGUAAGUAACUGUGCACAUCUUGACGGUACCUAAUCAGAAAGCCACGGCUAACUACGUG